This 319-nucleotide ribosomal RNA is filed under the name uncultured eukaryote. Its description in RNAcentral is "partial 18S ribosomal RNA". It matches the Rfam family "Eukaryotic small subunit ribosomal RNA", at positions 1470 to 1796 of the family's 1831-position model. The record is from RNAcentral.
CCCUUAGAUGUUCUGGGCUGCACGCGUGCUACAAUGGCGUUUCCAGCAAGUCUGCGAACCCGAGAGGGCCAGCGGAUCUUCGAAUUGGCGUCGUGAUCGGGACAGUCGAUUGCAAUUAUUUGACUCAAACGAGGAAUUCCUUGUAAUCGCGAUUCAUCAUAUCGCGCUGAAUACGCCCCUGCCCUUUGUACACACCGCCCGUCGCUCCUACCGAUUGAGCGAUCCGGUAAAUGUUUUGGAUUGGUGCCGGGGCGGCUAGCUGCCGGUCGCUACGAAAUUUUGUGAACCUUAUCGCUUAGAGGAAGGAAAAGUCGUAACA